Long non-coding RNA from Papaver somniferum (opium poppy), 565 nucleotides. RefSeq lists it as uncharacterized. NCBI's taxonomy places the organism in Eukaryota, Viridiplantae, Streptophyta, Magnoliopsida, Ranunculales, Papaveraceae. The transcript has 3 exons. The record is from RefSeq and is a predicted model, not a curated record.
GAAGAAUGAAUGUUCACAAUACUCAUCCAAAGUCAGAGCUUGAAAGGUAUUUGCUUGAUGACUGUGAAGCAUCUACCAAGGAGUUUGAUAUUCUAGCAUGGUGGCAGGCUAAUAGUACCAAGUAUAAGGUACUAUCACUAAUGGCAAAGGAUAUUUUAGCAAUACCAGUGUCCUCCGUUGCUUAGGAAUCUGCAUUCAGUAUUGGAAAACGCAUUCUUACUCCAUGGAGAAGCUCGCUAUCUGCCAGGACAGUUGAAGCACUUCUCUGUACGCAAAGCUGGUUGCAGAAACCUAUCUCUCUUGCUUUCCUAUGUGACUACGUACCUGAUGACAAUUCCAACAUUGAAGAUGAAAUUUUGGGGAAGGAUGAAGAUUAAGGAGAUUGGCUUGAGAGAUGGAUGGACUGCAGUCUUUUAGCUUUGGUUAACUUGAGAAAUGAAGAUCAAAUGGAUGACUGCAGUCUUUUUAUGUUAUUGGCAACAUCGUUUUCUUUUAACUUUCGUUUCAUCAGACUUUGGUUAUCUUUUAGAAUUAAGACUUUGGCUAACUUGUUUGUGAACUUCAA